RNAcentral lists this microRNA precursor (85 nucleotides) under Salmo salar (Atlantic salmon). RNAcentral's name for it is "mir-130 microRNA precursor family". It matches the Rfam family "mir-130 microRNA precursor family". From Rfam's summary of the family: The hairpin precursors (represented here) are predicted based on base pairing and cross-species conservation -- their extents are not known. In this case the mature sequence is excised from the 3' arm of the hairpin. Lineage: Eukaryota; Metazoa; Chordata; Actinopteri; Salmoniformes; Salmonidae. The record is from Rfam by way of RNAcentral.
AAUGGCACCCUAUUCCCUAUAUAGUGCACUACUAUAUGGGCCCUAAUCAAAAGUAGUGCACUAUAUAGGGAAUAGGGUGCCAUUU